AGAUAUUUAAUUUGGUGGUAAAAUGUUGGACUCUUAGUUUCAAUGAUCAGGGUUCAAUCCCUGACCAUUUU
Molecule: transfer RNA, 71 nt
Filed under: Corchorus capsularis
Lineage: Eukaryota; Viridiplantae; Streptophyta; Magnoliopsida; Malvales; Malvaceae
Rfam family: tRNA
About the family: Transfer RNA (tRNA) molecules are approximately 80 nucleotides in length.
Source: Rfam by way of RNAcentral